Molecule: ribosomal RNA, 331 nt
Filed under: uncultured eukaryote
Lineage: Eukaryota
Description: partial 18S ribosomal RNA
Rfam family: Eukaryotic small subunit ribosomal RNA
Source: RNAcentral
CCCUUAGAUGUUCUGGGCCGCACGCGCGCUACACUGACUGACUCAACGAGUUUACAACCUGUGCCGAAAGGUAUGGGUAAUCUUUUGAAAUUCAGUCGUGAUGGGUCUAGAUUAUUGCAACUAUUAAUCUUCAACGAGGAAUGCCUAGUAAGCGCGAAUCAUCAGUUCGCGUUGAUUACGUCCCUGCCCUUUGUACACACCGCCCGUCGCUCCUACCGAUUGAAUGGUCCGGUGAAAAUUUCGGACAGUGACGAUGCUGGCGGUCCGCCGCCGGCGCUGUCGCUGGAAGAUCUUUAAACCUUAUCAUUUAGAGGAAGGAGAANUCGUAACA